AGUGAACGCUGGCGGUAGGCCUAACACAUGCAAGUCGAACGGCAGCACAGUAAGAGCUUGCUCUUACGGGUGGCGAGUGGCGGACGGGUGAGGAAUACAUCGGAAUCUACUUUUUCGUGGGGGAUAACGUAGGGAAACUUACGCUAAUACCGCAUACGACCUACGGGUGGAAGCAGGGGAUCUUCGGACCUUGCGCGAUUGAAUGAGCCGAUGUCGGAUUAGCUAGUUGGCGGGGUAAAGGCCCACCAAGGCGACGAUCCGUAGCUGGUCUGAGAGGAUGAUCAGCCACACUGGAACUGAGACACGGUCCAGGCUCCUACGGGAGGCAGCAGUGGGGAAUAUUGGACAAUGGGCGCAAGCCUGAUCCAGCCAUACCGCGUGGGUGAAGAAGGCCUUCGGGUUGUAAAGCCCUUUUGUUGGGAAAGAAAAGCAGCAGGUUAAUACCCCGCUGUUCUGACGGUACCCAAAGAAUAAGCACCGGCUAACUUCGUG
Molecule: ribosomal RNA, 492 nt
Filed under: uncultured bacterium
Lineage: Bacteria
Description: partial 16S ribosomal RNA
Rfam family: Bacterial small subunit ribosomal RNA
Source: RNAcentral